GAUGAACGCUAGCUACAGGCUUAACACAUGCAAGUCGAGGGGUAGCAGGGUAGCAAUACCGCUGACGACCGGCGCACGGGUGAGUAACACGUAUCCACCCUUCCCAUAACUCGGGGAUAGCCUUUCGAAAGAAAGAUUAAUACCUGAUAGUACUUAAGAAAGGCAUCUUUUUUAAGUUAAAGAUUUAUUGGUUAUGGAUGGGGAUGCGUUCCAUUAGAUAGUUGGUGAGGUAACGGCUCACCAAGUCUUCGAUGGAUAGGGGUUCUGAGAGGAAGGUCCCCCACAUUGGUACUGAGACACGGACCAAACUCCUACGGGAGGCAGCAGUGAGGAAUAUUGGUCAAUGGGCGAGAGCCUGAACCAGCCAAGUAGCGUGAAGGAUGAAGGUCCUAUGGAUUGUAAACUUCUUUUAUAGUAGGAUAAAGUGAACCACGUGUGGUUUUUUGUAUGUAUACUAUGAAUAAGGAUCGGCUAACUCCGUGCCAGCAGCCGCCGUAA
This 498-nucleotide ribosomal RNA is filed under the name uncultured bacterium. RNAcentral describes it as "partial 16S ribosomal RNA". It matches the Rfam family "Bacterial small subunit ribosomal RNA", at positions 28 to 523 of the family's 1533-position model. The record is from RNAcentral.